Papaver somniferum (opium poppy) is the source of this 2449-nucleotide long non-coding RNA. RefSeq lists it as uncharacterized. Lineage: Eukaryota; Viridiplantae; Streptophyta; Magnoliopsida; Ranunculales; Papaveraceae. The transcript is spliced from 5 exons. The record is from RefSeq and is a predicted model, not a curated record.
UCAGCAUACUGGGAAACAAUUUGAAAAACGACCAACCUACCAACAGUAAGAUUCUGCGUGACAGUGAAAAAGUUAACUUUGUUUCCUUGGGUUCUGAUUCUGUAAAUAGUAAGGUAACAAGUACUGAUGGUGAACUAGGUGGCACAAGUACUUCUGAUCAGCCCAAUGUUCAACUGCAAGGGACUAUUCCUGGAAAACCACAUCAUGAUCAUUAUUCUAAAGAUGGGCUUCAGACAGAUUUUAUGCAUUCCCCUGUCCCUACCGGAGCUGUAGAAAAAAUUAACUCCGGAAGUGGUAUUGAUGCACAGAAGGUCGUGAGCUGAGAUAAUCUUGCACAUCUUUCUAUAAGGUUGGUGAUGUGAAGGAUGCAAGUAACCUGGUGUCAAAGGAAAGUGAAGUAAGUAAACGUAGCCAACUGGAUAUGUCAGGAAGUACAACGAUGAAGGAAAAAGUACCUGCACUGCCUUCUAACACUAAAAGGAAGAAACAAUCUUCAACUGUCCAAGAACGUCCUAAUCUUAAUCUCAAACGAACAAGAUCUGGGAGACUACUUUUACCUCCAGUAGAGUUUUGGUGAAACCAACAAGUCCCAUAUGAUAAGGUUUGCAGUCGUUUCAUUGUGGGAUUUCUAUUUGGCUGGGAGGAUGUUGCUGAUCAAUGCUUGGACCAACAAUCUGCUGGUAAUGGUGCUCCAACUAGUAUGUCUUCCUUUGAUGAGUCAAAAGAGGUGCUGUCUUUUCUGUCCAACAAGAAGACGUUCACUAACACGAAAAGCGGAGAGCCAGAAAAUCUUAGUUGCAGUUAUGAUACUGGUAUGGAUGAAGUUGUAAAAGAUGCUCCAGCAUCUACAAGUUCUGAUGUGAAAAAUGCUGAUCCAAAUGUGGUCAGAGUUGACGUUCCGGCGGGCAUCCUGAGUACAAAGUCGGCUAAAGCCAAAGGUGGAGUUAAAAAAAGGUAAAGUAGGUUGGACAAAGAAGAAGGGAACAAAUUCACGUUCUAUUUCUGGAUCUGCUGGCUGUGGAGUUGUACAAGUCCGUCUCAAAGAGGAUACAUACAAGUGUUUCUGAAGGAAAGUUGGAAAGAUCUAUGUCAGAAAUGCCAAUUGCAGCCACUCCUAGUGUGUCAGAAAGAUCUGGAAGUUGCAACCACGGAGGAGUCUACUCUGCAGAGAUCUUCCAAAGCUAACGAUAGUUGCUCGAUUAAAGAUGGUUUAGAUACUUUAAAAGUUGCUCUAAUUAGAGUCGCUGCAACAAGAAGGUUGAAUAACAUAAAAGUCAAAGAAAUAAGAAUUGAGCGUGUGGAUUGCUGCAAUGACAAUGUCAAUAGUAUCCCUGGUCCAAGAUUGGAGGCUUUUGAGACACCACAAAAAAGGUUCUUGGUUAAUAGCUGUCUUCCAAAUCCUUCCUAGCUGUAAUAUUGACAAUGUAAAGGAAAUUAUGAGGUCACCGAAUGGCAGAAAAACAGCUAGCAGAAUCAAAAUACUGGGAAACAAUUGAAAGACGACCAACCUACCAACAGUAAGAGUCAGCGUGAAAGAGAAAGUAAACUAUGUUUCUGUGGGUUCUGAUUCUGUUAAUAGUAAGGUAAGAAAUACUGAUGGAGAAGCUUCUAAUCUUAUUCUCAAAUGAUCAAGAUCUGGUACGUAAUUCGGUUAGUCCAUUUUUCAACUAGCAUUUGAAAUUGAUAGUUGUUACGUUUCAUUUUGAACUGCCUAACUGCUUGAGUUUAUUAAGAGCAUUUAGUUGCUUAUAAUGGAUAUGUAUUCUGCAGGGAGACUAAUGUUACCUCCAGUAGGGUUUUGGCGAAACCAACAAGCCCUAUAUGAUAAGUGGUGGAAUGAACGGUUACCUAUCCCUUUGUUGUAGAGAUCCUUCGCCUACCAUCUUUCGCCCUCCUAUUACAGGAUCGGAAGAUAUUAUGAACAAUCAAGAGAUGUAUUUUUUUUCAUUUCCUUCUGAGGCUAAUUUCUUUCGUAAAGUUUCUAGUUAUUCAUAUUCAUGAUUCCUUGCUUCCUUCCAGAUGUGUCAUAUACAGACUUCGAGAUUCGCUCAAACACAUAACUCCAGCUGGGGUUAUUUUUCCAAAACAGGUAACUGGCCCCUGGGUAGCACAAGCUUGACUUGGAAAGUCUUGUUGCAUUUCAUGAUUUUAAAUUUCUCUGGAGAACAAUAGUUUUCGUCCAGGAAGAUGAAGCAGAAUCACUGUCAAAGCUGGUGAUGGUCGUAAGUGGGAAGGAGGUUAUAUCUUACGAUCUUAAAAAAAUGAGUGUUACCCGACUCCAUUCUUUUCCUGGAUUAUUCUUUUUUCUAGAUGCUCCUACUGGAGGUGUAUGGGGUCAUCUUUAUAAUUACAUCGAGUCACUUGCGUGUGUUUGAUGCAAUUCCAUGUCUUUAUGGAGAUACAGUGUGAUAUAUGGAAUCAGGACUAAUAAUUCAGUUGAUUAAAUUUA